This 477-nucleotide ribosomal RNA is filed under the name Mustelus norrisi (narrowfin smooth-hound). Its description in RNAcentral is "partial 12S ribosomal RNA". It matches the Rfam family "Bacterial small subunit ribosomal RNA", at positions 853 to 1522 of the family's 1533-position model. The record is from RNAcentral. Lineage: Eukaryota; Metazoa; Chordata; Chondrichthyes; Carcharhiniformes; Triakidae.
UAAGUCACCAUAUUGUUCGCCCGAGUACUACAAGCGCUAGCUUGAAACCCAAAGGACUUGGCGGUAUCCCACACCCACCUAGAGGAGCCUGUUCUAUAACCGAUAAUCCCCGUUUAACCUCACCACUUCUUGCCAUCACCGUCUAUAUACCGCCGUCGUCAGCUCACCCUGUGAAGGGUUAAAAGUAAGCAAAAAGAAUUUAAACUCCAAACGUCAGGUCGAGGUGUAGCAGAUGAAGUGGGAAGAAAUGGGCUACAUUUUUUUACCAAAAAACACGAAUGGUGAACUGAAAACACGCCUAAAGGUGGAUUUAGCAGUAAGAGAAGAUUAGAGUACUUCCCUGAAUUUGGCUCUGGGAUGCGCACACACCGCCCGUCACUCUCCUCAAAAACUACCUAUCUUUUUAUAAAUACAUUACUUCAACAAGAGGAGGCAAGUCGUAACAUGGUAAGUGUACUGGAAAGUGCACUUGGAAUC